This 575-nucleotide ribosomal RNA is filed under the name Colletotrichum sp. ITCC 6053. RNAcentral describes it as "eukaryotic LSU rRNA". The stretch from base 213 to 366 matches the Rfam family "5.8S ribosomal RNA". The record is from RNAcentral. Lineage: Eukaryota; Fungi; Ascomycota; Sordariomycetes; Glomerellales; Glomerellaceae.
UAACAAGGUCUCCGUUGGUGAACCAGCGGAGGGAUCAUUACUGAGUUUACGCUCUACAACCCUUUGUGAACAUACCUAUAACUGUUGCUUCGGCGGGUAGGGUCUCCGCGACCCUCCCGGCCUCCCGCCUCCGGGCGGGUCGGCGCCCGCCGGAGGAUAACCAAACUCUGAUUUAACGACGUUUCUUCUGAGUGGUACAAGCAAAUAAUCAAAACUUUUAACAACGGAUCUCUUGGUUCUGGCAUCGAUGAAGAACGCAGCGAAAUGCGAUAAGUAAUGUGAAUUGCAGAAUUCAGUGAAUCAUCGAAUCUUUGAACGCACAUUGCGCCCGCCAGCAUUCUGGCGGGCAUGCCUGUUCGAGCGUCAUUUCAACCCUCAAGCUCUGCUUGGUGUUGGGGCCCUACAGCUGAUGUAGGCCCUCAAAGGUAGUGGCGGACCCUCUCGGAGCCUCCUUUGCGUAGUAACUUUACGUCUCGCACUGGGAUCCGGAGGGACUCUUGCCGUAAAACCCCCAAUUUUCCAAAGGUUGACCUCGGAUCAGGUAGGAAUACCCGCUGAACUUAAGCAUAUCAAUA